This 559-nucleotide small RNA is filed under the name Pongo abelii (Sumatran orangutan). Its description in RNAcentral is "processed transcript". Lineage: Eukaryota; Metazoa; Chordata; Mammalia; Primates; Hominidae. The record is from RNAcentral.
AGUGGGACUGGCGGGCGUGAUGCGCCCGUGGGUGGAGAUGGGUGUUCAUCCGCCAUCCCUCGGAGCAUCUGGACCUGCGCGUUUCAUUGCGUGUAAAAUGGGACAGGAACACGCACCUCGGCUCAUGUGCUUGAGGAGUGUUUAGCAUCCGGUCUUGGGAUGUCGAUCCUGGCAUCUGCAACCUCGAUGAACAGCUCAAGGUCUUUGUGUCCCGACACUCUGCCACCUUCUCCAGCAUUGUGAAAGGCCAGCGGAGCCUGCAUCACCGUGGAGACAGCCUGGAGACCCUGGUCCUCCUGAACCCAUCAGACAAAUCCCUGUGUGAUGAGCUCCGGAACCUUCUGUUGGACCCUGCCUCUCACAAGCUACUGGUGUUGGCUGGGCCCUGCCUAGAGGAGACGGGGGAGCUGCUGCUACAGACAGGGGGCUUCUCACCUCACCACUUCCUCCAGGUCCUGAAGGACAGAGAGAUCCGGGACAUCCUGGCCACCACGCCCCCACCUGUGCAGCCGCCCAUACUCACCAUCACCUGCCCCGCCUUCGGUGACUGGGCUCAGCU